CCAAGGAGUCUAACAUGUACGCGAGUCAUUGGGCUUAACAAAGCCUAAAGGCGUAAUGAAAGUGAAGAUCGUCCUUAGCGUCGAUCGAGGGAGGAUGGUCGGUUCCUUGGAACUGGCUCGCACUCCCGGGGCGUCUCGUGCUCAUUACGAGCAGAGGCGCACCUAGAGCGUACACGUUGGGACCCGAAAGAUGGUGAACUAUGCCUGGUCAGGACGAAGUCAGGGGAAACCCUGAUGGAGGUCCGUAGCGAUUCUGACGUGCAAAUCGAUCGUCGGAACUGGGUAUAGGGGCGAAAGACUAAUCGAACCAUC
RNAcentral lists this ribosomal RNA (312 nucleotides) under Aphytis paramaculicornis. RNAcentral describes it as "eukaryotic LSU rRNA". It matches the Rfam family "Eukaryotic large subunit ribosomal RNA", at positions 666 to 944 of the family's 3401-position model. The record is from RNAcentral. Lineage: Eukaryota; Metazoa; Arthropoda; Insecta; Hymenoptera; Aphelinidae.